Molecule: long non-coding RNA, 828 nt
Organism: Xiphophorus hellerii (green swordtail)
Lineage: Eukaryota; Metazoa; Chordata; Actinopteri; Cyprinodontiformes; Poeciliidae
Exons: 2
Source: RefSeq, a predicted model, not a curated record
UCUUGCUUUUUAAAACCUCCCACUGAUGAUCGCGUAAUGAGUGGCGGCACUCCGCCUUCCUCUCACUUCCCCACUGCAGCCGCGCACAGUCAUCAUGUCAUCACCGUCUCUCCUCCCAGCGGGCGGCUGACACUGAGGAAGAUCCGGCUGAGCGGAAGCGUGUCAGUGCUGCAUCUUUUUUUUUGUGCUUCAUGUUGCUGCUCUGCAUCAGCCAAACGCCGCCAUGGAAACUCUGUCAAAGCCACGUUAAGAAAACACUCCUGCUGAAGAAGAUCAUUUUUUUUCUUGUUCCCCAAACACAAUUUGUGCUGCAGAGGGUUGUGUUGGAACGCCAUGGUAACCGGCCAAAAAACAACGAGAAUAAACGAGGUGCGGAGACGAACGCAUGACCAGCGCAUACGUCCCAUGCGUCGUGCGAUGAAACCUUUUCGGUUAGACUGUUGCUCUGCGCGCUGCUGAACACCCUAAUGAAUGCUGCUGCCUGUUCCCCAGAGAAAGCGCCCACUGUUCGCCUGCAUCCCAGAGGACGAGGCAAGGUGCUGCUGGCUGGCUCUUUAAUAACCGCCACCGAACGCGGCGCCUCCACAAAGCUAUCUCUGAGGGAUUAAUCCACUUCAAAAACCAAUUAAUAGGAGGCGCGGGUUAAACUGAUGCAAGCAAACAGCCAAGAGGUAAACAAGACAGUUUCGGGCUCACUCUCUGCUGCUUCUAGUGCCGUCAGACGGAGGGAGAGUUUAGAGGCCAGAAGAAAAAUGCAACCUCUGAGGUCAAAAGUGCAUUGAAUUGUCAUAAAGAUGUAAAAACUCUGAAAAAUAAAAGUUUAUUGUA